This 402-nucleotide long non-coding RNA is filed under the name Homo sapiens (human). RNAcentral describes it as "HSALNT0239713". The record is from RNAcentral. Lineage: Eukaryota; Metazoa; Chordata; Mammalia; Primates; Hominidae.
ACAGGUUUUAUAGGUGGGCCUAGAUUCAAAUCUCAUUCUUGCCAUUUUUUAGUGUAACUUAAGCAAGCACCUAUUCUCUCUAACCUUCAGUUUUAUCAUCCAAAAAUGAAAACAAUAUUUGUCACAUAGGAUGUCACAUCGGGGAUGAAAUGAGAUUAUGUAUGUGAAGCGCUCCCAAAAUGGUAGCUAUUGUUGUUUGAGUUAGGCUAGCACAGGUAGGCAUGUAAGUAGGUGCUCCAAUAUCUGGAAACCCUGUUUGUUGUAGGGACCCACGAUCACUCACCCUGCCAGCCUCACUGUCACCUGCACUCUUUAACCUUAGCUUCACAUACCUCUUUUACUGGGAGAACUGAUGUGUUUUAUAAUAAGCCAGAGGUCUUGCAAGGCCUGAAUUAUUGAGAA